ACUUGGGUAGUUUAUAAAAAAUUUAGUAUUGUGGUUUCUAAGAAACUUUAUCGUUCCAAGUU
This 62-nucleotide transfer RNA is filed under the name Norvellina sp. EMHAU-15062816. RNAcentral describes it as "tRNA-His". Lineage: Eukaryota; Metazoa; Arthropoda; Insecta; Hemiptera; Cicadellidae. The record is from RNAcentral.